RNAcentral lists this ribosomal RNA (116 nucleotides) under bacterium. The record is from RNAcentral.
UCCGGUGGCUAUAGCGAGGGGGUCACACCUGUUCCCAUACCGAACACAGAAGUAAAGUCCCUCAGCGCCGAUGGUACUGCAAGGUUUCCUUGUGGGAGAGUAGGUCGCCGCCGGAU